AACGAACGCUGGCGGCAGGCCUAACACAUGCAAGUCGAGCGCCCACUUCGGUGGGAGCGGCGGACGGGUUAGUAACGCGUGGGAACGUGCCCUUCUCUACGGAAUAGCCAUUGGAAACGAUGAUUAAUACCGUAUACGCCCUUUGGGGGAAAGAUUUAUCGGAGAAGGAUCGGCCCGCGUUAGAUUAGGUAGUUGGUGGGGUAAUGGCCUACCAAGCCUACGAUCUAUAGCUGGUUUGAGAGGAUGAUCAGCAACACUGGGACUGAGACACGGCCCAGACUCCUACGGGAGGCAGCAGUGGGGAAUCUUAGACAAUGGGGGAAACCCUGAUCUAGCCAUGCCGCGUGAGUAACGAAGGCCCUAGGGUCGUAAAGCUCUUUCGCCAGGGAUGAUAAUGACAGUACCUGGUAAAGAAACCCCGGCUAACUCCGUGCCAGCAGCCGCGGUAAUACGGAGGGGGUUAGCGUUGUUCGGAAUUACUGGGCGUAAAGCGCACGUAGGCGGAUUGGAAAGUUGGGGGUGAAAUCCCAGGGCUCAACCCUGGAACUGCCUCCAAAACUAACAGUCUAGAGUUCGAGAGAGGUGAGUGGAAUUCCGAGUGUAGAGGUGAAAUUCGUAGAUAUUCGGAGGAACACCAGUGGCGAAAGCGGCUCACUGGCUCGAUACUGACGCUGAGGUGCGAAAGUGUGGGGAGCAAACAGGAUUAGAUACCCUGGUAGUCCACACCGUAACGAUGAAUGCCAGACGUCGGGCAGU
Molecule: ribosomal RNA, 756 nt
Filed under: uncultured bacterium
Lineage: Bacteria
Description: bacterial SSU rRNA
Rfam family: Bacterial small subunit ribosomal RNA
Source: RNAcentral